GCGGCGUGCUACCAUGCAAGUCGAACGAUGAUCCCAGCUUGCUGGGGGAUUAGUGGCGAACGGGUGAGUAACACGUGAGUAACCUGCCCUUGACUCUGGGAUAAGCCUGGGAAACUGGGUCUAAUACCGGAUACGACCAUUCCACGCAUGUGGUGGUGGUGGAAAGCUUUUGUGGUUUUGGAUGGACUCGCGGCCUAUCAGCUUGUUGGUGGGGUAAUGGCCUACCAAGGCGACGACGGGUAGCCGGCCUGAGAGGGUGACCGGCCACACUGGGACUGAGACACGGCCCAGACUCCUACGGGAGGCAGCAGUGGGGAAUAUUGCACAAUGGGCGCAAGCCUGAUGCAGCGACGCCGCGUGAGGGAUGACGGCCUUCGGGUUGUAAACCUCUUUCAGUAGGGAAGAAGCGUAAGUGACGGUACCUGCAGAAGAAGCGCCGGCUAACUACGUGCCAGCAGCCGCGGUAAUACGUAGGGCGCAAGCGUUAUCCGGAAUUAUUGGGCGUAAAGAGCUCGUAGGCGGUUUGUCGCGUCUGCUGUGAAAGACCGGGGCUCAACUCCGGUUCUGCAGUGGGUACGGGCAGACUAGAGUGCAGUAGGGGAGACUGGAAUUCCUGGUGUAGCGGUGAAAUGCGCAGAUAUCAGGAGGAACACCGAUGGCGAAGGCAGGUCUCUGGGCUGUAACUGACGCUGAGGAGCGAAAGCAUGGGGAGCGAACAGGAUUAGAUACCCUGGUAGUCCAUGCCGUAAACGUUGGGCACUAGGUGUGGGGGACAUUCCACGUUUUCCGCGCCGUAGCUAACGCAUUAAGUGCCCCGCCUGGGGAGUACGGCCGCAAGGCUAAAACUCAA
This 850-nucleotide ribosomal RNA is filed under the name Actinobacteridae bacterium Control.13. RNAcentral's name for it is "bacterial SSU rRNA". It matches the Rfam family "Bacterial small subunit ribosomal RNA", at positions 39 to 904 of the family's 1533-position model. Lineage: Bacteria; Bacillati; Actinomycetota; Actinomycetes. The record is from RNAcentral.